AUGGAUCUGAGUUCAAUCCCCAGUACCAAAAAAACAGGUGCUCAAGCCCAUUCUGUCAUUGCUUACAAAACUGGAUUCACUUACUAUUUUCACUGUGGUUACAGGCACUUAUUCCUAAUUUGUAUUCUUGUUUCCUUAAAGACAAUAUCCUCUCCUCCUACCUACCCACACUCACAUCAGCAAGGUAACCAAAAUGAUACCCUUUCUCCGGCUGCUGCUGACCAACAGACAGAACUCCACUUGGGCAACACUGUAUUCAGGGGUCAGGUGAUUCCGAUGCUCAGUUUUGUGGACCACACUAGCCGUGAUGACUGCACACAGCCAGAUCAACAAAAGAGACAAGACAUACGGCUGAUACUUUCAUAUAGAGUCACUGCUACUGUGAUCCUAUGAGAGAGGCUAGGGCCACAGGAGCUACUUCUACCAUAAGUCCUCUCCAUCCUCUACUGUUUCGGCUGUUUGCCCAGAAUAAAAUGUCCCAGCAGUCUCAUUGUAGUCCUUUCCCUGAAAAUGUGGGCUGAGUGAACAUCAGUCUCUUCAGGUAAGUAGAAAACUGCAGACAGCACCUUCCACCUGGCAUAUGGGCUGGACCAGAGGCAGAGGGCCCCAGUACAUAAGGCUACAGAGAGAGAGAGGGCAGCUGCAAGAUCUCCCAGACCUGUGGCCUGGACAUGUUUCUUCCUCUGGUUAUUCUGGACUAACCCUCCAUCUUUACAUUAAUUUCUCUCAUAAUUUAGUUUGAGUUGUUUUCUGAAAUUUACAAGAAAAUCCUAGCCAGUUCACACACAGAAUCCAGAUGUCUGCAGGACGACCGGCCUGAAGAUAUAACUCAGCUUCAUCCCAGCUCAAGUGUUCUGCCUUUGAGAUCUGUAACAGAACACAAACAUGCCCUAAAAUUCUGAGGUCACGGGGGGGGGGGGGGG
Molecule: long non-coding RNA, 923 nt
Filed under: Fukomys damarensis (Damara mole-rat)
Lineage: Eukaryota; Metazoa; Chordata; Mammalia; Rodentia; Bathyergidae
Description: lncRNA (ENSFDAG00000029197.1)
Source: RNAcentral